This 244-nucleotide ribosomal RNA is filed under the name uncultured bacterium. RNAcentral's name for it is "partial 16S ribosomal RNA". It matches the Rfam family "Bacterial small subunit ribosomal RNA", at positions 529 to 772 of the family's 1533-position model. The record is from RNAcentral.
AGGGAGCAAGCGUUAUCCGGAUUUAUUGGGUGUAAAGGGUGCGUAGACGGGAAUGUAAGUUAGUUUUGAAAUCCCUCGGCUCAACUGAGGAAUUGGAACUAAAACUGCAUUUCUUGAGUGCAGGAGAGGAAAGUGGAAUUCCUAGUGUAGCGGUGAAAUGCGUAGAUAUUAGGAGGAACACCAGUGGCGAAGGCGACUUUCUGGACUGUAACUGACGUUGAGGCACGAAAGUGUGGGGAGCAAA